This is a long non-coding RNA of Solanum tuberosum (potato), 2589 nucleotides long. RefSeq lists it as uncharacterized. The record is from RefSeq and is a predicted model, not a curated record. The transcript is spliced from 3 exons. NCBI's taxonomy places the organism in Eukaryota, Viridiplantae, Streptophyta, Magnoliopsida, Solanales, Solanaceae.
UACUCAUAUUUAGAAGUGAGAUUUAGUAUGUACGAACAUGGUAAUAACAUGUUGUACAAUAAGCUAUGUGAAGUGUACUACAAACUUGGCUUUAUUUUAUUGGACAUCAUUUUUUUUGUUAUUUUCCUGUUGACACGCGUAUUUGCACUAUCAUCUCACCAAUGCUCAAAACACUCACCAGCCAACGUUAGGUUCAUUGCUUCAGAGCUUCAGCCUUCAAGAUGGAUCUUUGAGGUUCACUUUCUUCUUCAUUGACUCUUUUAAAUUCAAGUUUCUUAAUUGUAUUUUGUGAUAAGUUUUUCUCGCUUUUUUCUUCCUUAAUUUUUUUUUUUUGCUUUAAUCUUUUUCUUGUGCAAUUAGUGAUUUUUUUAGAGAAUAUAAAGACAUGAAGUUUAUAGAUGUGACUAGUUUUAUUUCCCCUGAUCCAUUUGUGGAAAGGAAAAUUGGAUGAAAAUGACUAUAAACAAAAUAAUAUUUAACAACCAUCCAAAUAAGUUGUUGAUGAAGAUGGAGAUACUCUUACUCAAAUUUCGACAAACAUUCAUCAUCUGAAUCAAAUUUUGAUAUUUAUUCUUUUAAAUUAUUGUUCUCUAUUGUUUUUUCUCUAUAAAUAAUAAAUGAAUGUCAAUAUUAUUUUCUGAUUUAUUCAUGCAUCUUCACGAAUAAAUACUCAAGUUUCCUUAGUGCACCAAGGGUGUUUGAUAAUAUGCCUACAUCGAGAUGGAUCUUUGAUUCAGCACUAAAGGUGAAGGAGAAAAGGAAAAAAUAUAUGAUUGUUAUUUGUGCAAUUUGAACCAUUCAAUUCCAGGUAGAGUCUAAGUUAUUCAUAAAAUGAAUUGACCCUCAACUCCCUCUAAUUCUAUAUAGAAGCAACAUUACGUGCCUCAUUAUGAAAAACCAUUUUUUUUUCCAUUUUAUCACAGCUAAACUGGAAGGAUUAGAGUCAUUUUUUUGCUUCCUGGAGAAUACAGCAGGGUACUUGAAUGUUUCUCAUAAUAUCAAAAUAAUUUAGAAUAAUUGAAGGAUCUUCUCUAGAUUUGGUAACAACAUUUGAUGUUGGACCUAAUUAAUGUGCGAAAUGAUAGUUAAGUUGUCUGUAUGCGGUCAUCAUCAGUUGUAUUGGUUUAUGAAUGCUCACGGAAUCAAAUAAUGCAUUUAUUGCAAAUGAUGUAUCUUUACAUUUGAGUUUUAUGCAUGAUCAAUGUAAAUGUUUUUUUGCACUAUCAAGUUAGUGGACUUUCAUUAACCUUCUUGAUAAAAUGUGCUAUCCACAUGUCAAAAUUAUUUACGUUACGUUGACAAUGUAUAUUAUUUAUUAAACUCUUACGUUUUAUUGUGCUUUCUAUUCUGGCUUUGAAAUUUGGGGGCUAAGAAAAAGGUUGGGAUGUUCAUUGUUCAACUAAUUUGAGAUAUUAGACGAUAUUGAUGUAAUGAAAUUGGAAGAUGGUGUAAUUCAAAACAUGGUAAAGUCUCUGAUUUGUAUUCAUAAGUUGCAAUCCUUGAUUGUUUUUCAUUGUAUUGAGUUCUUUUUCAUAAUGUUGGCAAUUUUGACAAAUCUACAAUGAUUUUAACUCCACCAUAUCCAUACUUGGUCACCCAUGGAAGAAGUUUGAAAAGAUAAUUCAGCAAUUAUUUGAAAAUCUUUCCUCAUGUUGGGAACCAAAAUGAGGUACAAGAAGCAAUGUAAAGUGUACUUCAAACAAAACUUGAAUUGUACGAGUAGGGUUAAAAUAGUAAAUUCACUUUAUUCACUCUCUCACCUCUGCUUCUACUCUUUCUUCUAUGCCUGACAACUUUCAUGGCAAAUUGACAACCAUUUUAAACCUUCAACGGAGUUAAACUUUACUUCAGAGUCUCACUCCAACUUCUCAAGUUCUUUCAAUUGUUUACCUGAUAAUUAAUGACUUGAUGCGGUCGCAUGUUUGACGAAAUUUCCCGUGAAGGUAAGACUUGUGUAUUAUGAAGAGAGAUUAGUUAUAAGAGUAGAUUGUUUUGGCAGAUGAUUCAAGGUGCUAAUGAAGUUGAACGGUGGGCUUAGGUGAAUAGGCAUUUUCCCUUAUAAAAUCUUUUUUUCAUAUGGUAUUUUCCCCAAAAAAUAUUGAGAAAGAAUUUGAGUUGCCGAACUCUUUGACGCUGCCAUGAAAUUAGAAGUGAUAACGUAAUGCUGAAAAUUCAGGGUAAGCUUUCAGCAUUGAUCUUUUUGUUGUUUGAAUUACAUCUUCGAAAAAAAUUCAGCUACUAAUAUAGUAAGUUGAGGUGGUAUUCAAAGAAACAUUAUUUAAAUUACAAAGUCAGAAUAACAAGCAAGUUGAAUCAGGCGAAAAGGUUGAUUUCAGGCUCACCAAUUUCCAAGUCCUUUAAGGUACCAUUCCACAUUUUCUUAAGAACCUUUAAAAUUUUUGGCAAUAGACCGUGAUGUUGGUGUUGCAUUUAUUUUUAGCAGAUGUUCUUGGAUAAAAGCUGAAACUUUAAUAUUGAAAAUUCUGUUACUAGAUUGAGUUCUAGAAGUCUGUCAUAUGAUCUUAUGCUUUCUCAAAGUUUUUGUUUCAUGUGUUCAUAUUAGUUAGAUACAAUUGAUAAUGUUAAAAA